Molecule: unclassified non-coding RNA, 147 nt
Filed under: uncultured Ascomycota
Lineage: Eukaryota; Fungi; Ascomycota
Description: sequence contains ITS1
Source: RNAcentral
CCGAGUGAGGGCCUCCGGCCCGACCUCCAACCCUUUGUCGAUCAAAACCACGUUGCCUCGGGGGUGACCCGGCGUCCAACGUUGGGGCCCCCGGUGGACCACACAAAACUCUGCGUCUCUGCGUCUGAGUCUGAAGCAAAUCAAUCA